AGAGUUUGAUCCUGGCUCAGAACGAACGCUGGCGGCAGGCUUAACACAUGCAAGUCGAACGCCCCGCAAGGGGAGUGGCAGACGGGUGAGUAACACGUGGGAACAUGCCCUUCGGUUCGGAAUAACUCAGGGAAACUUGUGCUAAUACCGGAUACGUCCGCGAGGAGAAAGAUUUAUCGCCGAAGGAUUGGCCCGCGUCU
RNAcentral lists this ribosomal RNA (200 nucleotides) under uncultured bacterium. Its description in RNAcentral is "partial 16S ribosomal RNA". It matches the Rfam family "Bacterial small subunit ribosomal RNA", at positions 8 to 238 of the family's 1533-position model. The record is from RNAcentral.